Zingiber officinale is the source of this 755-nucleotide long non-coding RNA. RefSeq lists it as uncharacterized. Lineage: Eukaryota; Viridiplantae; Streptophyta; Magnoliopsida; Zingiberales; Zingiberaceae. The record is from RefSeq and is a predicted model, not a curated record. The transcript is spliced from 4 exons.
UCUCCCUCGCGCACCCGAGCCGCACCCUUCCUCGCCCGACGCCUUCUCCUCCGAGCCCUAACCGCCGGAGCCCUAACCGCCGGCCAUGACGGUUUUCCUCCCUCCCUCGUGCUUAAGCCGUGACCAAGGGGAGAAGCCGACGCCGACUCCGUGCCCUAAUCACUGCCGCUGACGCCUUCCUCCUCUCCUCUGCCGCCACUCCGACCCGGAGCCGAGUCCUAGCCGCGUCGCCGCCACUCCGACCCGACGCCGAGCCCUAGGUGCCGACGCCCUCUCCGAUCUCCUCUCAUCAGAGCCGAGUUCUCCUCACAGCGAACCGUGCCCUAGCCGAGCUUCCUCCUGCCGAGGCUGCGCCCUAGCUUCUCCGCCAUCCGCCGCCGUCGAACGAAGAGCGCCGACCACCCUUCCUCUGCCCUAGACUCACUCAGCGCCGCCUUCCCUCGUGCCCUAGUUUGGUUUUCACUGUCGUGCCCUAACUCCAGCCGUUGUAGCCACCAACUUCUGAUUCUUGCUGUCAUCAUCGAAGAAGAGGGCAGUAGGUUGUUACUUCUGGCCAGUAGGUUUGAUUUGGGGCUGUUGGAAUUUGCCGUGGAAAUAUUGCUUCAGUUGAGGACAUAAAGGAAGAGUGCAAGUGGAUUUCCAGCCACUCACCUUGUUCCAGCAGCAAACACACUCCUUGAUUGUGGAUCAAUCACGACUGUGAAUUGAGGGCUUUGACACGAGACGAGUAUCUCGAAGUCGUAUUUGGACCAGAU